CGGGCUGUAGUAUAGUGGUAGUACGCACGCUUCGGGUGCGUGUAGCCCCGGUUCAAGUCCGGGCAGCCCGA
This 71-nucleotide transfer RNA is filed under the name bacterium. Its description in RNAcentral is "tRNA-Pro". It matches the Rfam family "tRNA". From Rfam's summary of the family: Transfer RNA (tRNA) molecules are approximately 80 nucleotides in length. Their secondary structure includes four short double-helical elements and three loops (D, anti-codon, and T loops). The record is from RNAcentral.